UUAAUUGAAACCAAAAAGAGGUAAAUUAUUGUUAAUAAUUAAAAUAAAUUUAAUAAAUUUCUAUUAAA
Molecule: transfer RNA, 68 nt
Filed under: Trichosia lengersdorfi
Lineage: Eukaryota; Metazoa; Arthropoda; Insecta; Diptera; Sciaridae
Description: tRNA-Asn
Source: RNAcentral